This 244-nucleotide ribosomal RNA is filed under the name uncultured bacterium. Its description in RNAcentral is "partial 16S ribosomal RNA". It matches the Rfam family "Archaeal small subunit ribosomal RNA", at positions 474 to 718 of the family's 1478-position model. The record is from RNAcentral.
UACCAGCACCCCGAGUGGUCGGGACGUUUAUUGGGCCUAAAGCAUCCGUAGCCGGUUCUGCAAGUCUUCCGUUAAAUCCACCUGCUUAACAGAUGGGCCGCGGAAGAUACUAUAGAGCUAGGAGGCGGGAGAGGCAAGCGGUACUCGAUGGGUAGGGGUAAAAUCCGUUGAUCCAUUGAAGACCACCAGUGGCGAAGGCGGCUUGCCAGAACGCGCUCGACGGUGAGGGAUGAAAGCUGGGGGA